Molecule: ribosomal RNA, 253 nt
Filed under: uncultured bacterium
Lineage: Bacteria
Description: partial 16S ribosomal RNA
Rfam family: Bacterial small subunit ribosomal RNA
Source: RNAcentral
UACGUAGGGUGCAAGCGUUAAUCGGAAUUACUGGGCGUAAAGCGUGCGCAGGCGGUUAUGUAAGACAGGUGUGAAAUCCCCGGGCUUAACCUGGGAACUGCAUUUGUGACUGCAUAGCUGGAGUUCGGCAGGGGAGACUGGAAUUCCUGGUGUAGCGGUGAAAUGCGUAGAUAUUGGGAAGAACACCAGCGGCGAAAGCGCUCUACUGGGCCGCAACUGACACUCAUGGACGAAAGCUAGGGGAGCGAAAGGG